CUCCCAGACUCCUACGGGAGGCAGCAGUGAGGAAUAUUGGUCAAUGGGCGAGAGCCUGAACCAGCCAAGUCGCGUGAAGGAUGACGGCCCUACGGGUUGUAAACUUCUUUUGUCAGGGAGCAAUUGGGUCCACGCGUGGGCUUAGCGAGAAUACCUGAAGAAAAAGCAUCGGCUAACUCCGUGCCAGCAGCCGCGGUAAUACGGAGGAUGCGAGCGUUAUCCGGAUUUACUGGGUGUAAAGGGGGCGCAGACGGCAGCGCAAGCCAGGAGUGAAAGCCCGGGGCCCAACCCCGGGACUGCUCUUGGAACUGCGCGGCUGGAGUGCAGGAGGGGCAGGCGGAAUUCCUGGUGUAGCGGUGAAAUGCGUAGAUAUCAGGAGGAACACCGGUGGCGAAGGCGGCCUGCUGGACUGCGACUGACGUUGAGGCCCGAAAGCGUGGGGAGCAAACAGGAUUAGAUACCCCCGUA
Molecule: ribosomal RNA, 468 nt
Filed under: uncultured bacterium
Lineage: Bacteria
Description: bacterial SSU rRNA
Rfam family: Bacterial small subunit ribosomal RNA
Source: RNAcentral